AGAGAGAGAGAGAGAGAGAGAGAGAGUGAGAGUGAGAGAGAGAGAGAGAGAGAGAGAGAGAGAGAGAGAGAGAGAGAGCAGGGCUGGAGGGGGAAGGAAAGAAAGAUAUAUAUAGAUGGAGAGCAGGGAUAAAAGGAAGAGAGAAACAGAAUGAAAUAAAGAAGAGAAAAAUAAAGAAACGAACGACUAAAGAGAAGCGGGAGCCCAUUGUUAGGAAACUUUAGCGGCUCACUGGUGUUGUCCCUCAGCAGGUGUGUCAAUUCAAUGUACCUGAAAGACGUUAAUUGGUGAACUAAUUCUUACUACGUAAAAUCAAUUAAUCAGGCAAUCAGAGAAGGAAAAUACUAUAAAAAAGAAAAUUUGAGCUAAGGAAGAAAAAGGGAAGCUGAUGCUGCGCCGGAAGCCAUUGGGAUGCUGGUGCGCGUUUCCCAGGCCCGGCGGUUUGCCAUCCCAGAACCGAUAAACGCGGACACCGGCGCCUUCUCGGUAUUUAUAAUUAAUUUCAUAAUCCAGUCUGGUAGUUUUAAGAAGCUAAGUUCUUGCAUCAUCGCCUCGGCAAGGCUGGGGAGCGCCAGCGAGCCCAAGGUCUCCCUGGCGAGCAUGGCAGGACUGAAGGACUCCCGGCAGGACGCUGAGCGUCCCCCGGGGCCCCGACGGAGGUGCCGGAGAUCUGCCGGCUACAGACCCGGUCAGGUGGAGGUCGUUAGCCGUGGUAGGCAAUCUGCCUAGGAGAGCAAACUCCAAACAACAAACCCGGGCAGGUGGGGCUCGUUAGCCGUGGUAGGCAAUCUGCCUAGGAGAGCAAACUCCAAACAACAAACCCGGGCAGGUGGAGGUCGUUAGCCGUGGUAGGCAAUCUGCCUAGGAGAGCAAACUCCAAACAACAAACCCGGGCAGGUGGGGCUCGUUAGCCGUGGUAGGCAAUCUGCCUAGGAGAGCAAACUCCAAACAACAAACCCGGGCAGGUGGAGGUCGUUAGCCGUGGUAGGCAAUCUGCCUAGGAGAGCAAACUCCGAACAACAAACCCGGGCAGGCGGGGCUCGUUAGCCGUGGUAGGCAAUCUGCCUAGGAGAGCAAACUCCAAACAACAAACCCGGGCAGGUGGAGGUCGUUAGCCGUGGUAGGCAAUCUGCCUAGGAGAGCAAACUCCGAACAAUAAACCCGGUCAGGCGGGGCUCGUUAGCCGUGGUAGGCAAUCUGCCUAGGAGAGCAAACUCCAAACAACAAACCCGGGCAGGUGGAGGUCGUUAGCCGUGGUAGGCAAUCUACCUAGGAGAGCAAACUCCGAACAAUAAACCCGGACAGGUGGAGGUCGUCAGCCGUGGUAGGCAGUCUGCCUAGGAGAGCAAACUCCGAACAAUAAACCCGGACAGGUGGAGGUCGUUAGCCGUGGAAGGCAAUCUGCCUAGGAGAGCAAACUCCGAACAACAAACCCGGACAGGUGGAGGUCGUUAGCCGUGGAAGGCAAUCUGCCUAGGAGAGCAAACUCCGAACAACAAACCCGGACAGGUGGAGGUCGUUAGCCGUGGAAGGCAAUCUGCCUAGGAGAGCAAACUCCGAACAACAAACCCGGGCAGGUGGAGGUCGUUAGCCGUGGUAGGCAAUCUGCCUAGGAGAGCAAACUCCGAACAAUAAACCCGGGCAGGUGGAGGUCGUUAGCCGUGGAAGGCAAUCUGCCUAGGAGAGCAAACUCCGAACAACAAACCGGGUCUUGUGGUGCUCGUUAGAUGUCGUAGACAAUCCACGUGAUGGGAACACCAAAGAAAAGAAAAGAAAAAGUAACAACAGAAAAAGGAAAAUAUAAAAACGAAACAUCAAGAAAGAAAAAAAUACAGAUCAUCCACCUUCAGGCCCUAACAUCUCCAAAAUUAUGGGUGAGUCUUUUCUGGGGAGAAAAAGGCUCAUUCAGACCAAAGAACAUCAACAAGGGAUGAUAUAGAAGAGAGCACCAAAAAAAUAUGGAAAAAAUGAACAAAAAAUUCGAAAAAGAAAAGUAACAACAAUAAAAGAACAUCAAGAAAAGAAACAUCAUCCAUCUUUCGACCCCAACUAACAUCACCAAAAUUCUGGGUGGGUCUCUUCUGGGAGGAAAGCGGCUCACCCAGACCAACGAACAUCCGCAAAAGGAUGACAGGAAGAAAAGAACAACAAGAAACAUAAAACAGAAAAGAAAUCAGAAAAAGAAAAGAACAUACACAAGAAAAUACAUCGAAAAAGAAAAACAACGACAAUGAAAAGAUCAAGAAAAACACGACAUGAAGAAAAGAAGAAAAUAACAAA
This is a long non-coding RNA of Eriocheir sinensis (Chinese mitten crab), 2280 nucleotides long. RefSeq lists it as uncharacterized. The transcript is spliced from 4 exons. The record is from RefSeq and is a predicted model, not a curated record. Lineage: Eukaryota; Metazoa; Arthropoda; Malacostraca; Decapoda; Varunidae.